Salvia splendens (bonfire salvia) is the source of this 606-nucleotide RNA transcript. RefSeq lists it as uncharacterized. The transcript has 4 exons. NCBI's taxonomy places the organism in Eukaryota, Viridiplantae, Streptophyta, Magnoliopsida, Lamiales, Lamiaceae. The record is from RefSeq and is a predicted model, not a curated record.
AUUUGAAUUCACUAAAAUACACGGCGGGGAUGUCGAAUUCACUACUUCAACCUAUAUUUCAUGGAAAAUUGGCGUGUUUAUACCAUUCGAUUUUCCGACUAUUCGAGCUCUCAAGGUCCAGUUGUUGGAUCAAUGUCUCAAGUGUUUCGCAACGAGGGCUCUGGCAUUACCGACAGCUCUGCACAAUGUUAGUUCAAUGCCCGGGAGGAAGAGAUAUUGGUUGCUUCUUUGAUGGAAUUGACUGCACGCGGAUGGAAAUAUCAGACAAUGGUUUCCGGACCGGCUAUCUCCAACGCAUCAAAGACGACCCUUGAAAGAAAUUCCCCAAUACCAACCUGAAGGGUACUCCCCAAGAUCUCAGCUUGGAAGAAUAACUUCAAUAACCUCCGGAUGAUGCUUUCAAGGACUGGUGUUGGAUUCAAUCCAGACGGGAACCAUAAGAUAGACUGCAACGACGUGCAGUGGGCCCAGGUUGUGGCGGCUGAUAAGAUUGCCAAAUUUAUGCGCCUCAAACCAUGGCCUUUGUGGGAGGAAUGAAAUGUCAUCUUUGGAAAAUAACAUGUGAAGGCAUUGUUGAGGCCUUUUUGAGCAAUCGUUUAAUCCACC